CACUGUAGACUCCGAUUUCAUGAAAUUGUGAUUAGUAAUUAUUAUUCGAAACAAAUAUAUAUUUAAUAAAAUCUUAAUUAUACAUUAACUUUAAAUAAAUGCGUCCCACAAAAUGCUUAGAAAAUAAGCACAACUUAAAUCUAGCACUAUAUUCAAAUUCUACGGACUCCCAAAAUGGAUAUCUUUGGUCAUUAAUUUCUUUAAUUAUUUUGUCAACUUUCAAUGAAGACCAGAUUUAGGAAAGCGGCCAAUUGUUCUUGCUGGCCCC
RNAcentral lists this long non-coding RNA (268 nucleotides) under Citrus maxima (pomelo). RNAcentral describes it as "long non-coding RNA (CMAX_LNC000160)". Lineage: Eukaryota; Viridiplantae; Streptophyta; Magnoliopsida; Sapindales; Rutaceae. The record is from RNAcentral.